UCAAGAAACUUCCACAAUGGGCGAAAGCCUGAUGGAGCGACGUCGCGUGAUGGACGAAGUGCUUCGGCACGUAAACAUCUUUUAUGUGGGAUGAAAUUAUUGACAGUACCACAUGAAUAAGGGGCUCCUAACUCUGUGCCAGCAGGAGCGGUAAUACAGAGGCCCCAAGCGUUAUCCGGAAUCACUGGGCGUAAAGGGUGUCGAGGCGGUUGUAUUAGUCGUUCGUAAAAUCUACGAGCUUAACUUGUAGGCGGCGAACGAAACGGUACGACUUGAGGUUUGGAGAGGUGCGUGGAACUCACGGUGUAGGGGUGAAAUCCGUUGAUAUCGUGGGGAACACCAAAGGCGAAGGCAGCGCACUGGCCAAAAUCUGACGCUCACACACGAAAGCUAGGGUAGCGAAGAGGAUUAGAUACCCGUAGUCCCUGAGCGGGCUGGCAAGGCGCAU
This 448-nucleotide ribosomal RNA is filed under the name uncultured bacterium. Its description in RNAcentral is "bacterial SSU rRNA". It matches the Rfam family "Bacterial small subunit ribosomal RNA", at positions 355 to 825 of the family's 1533-position model. The record is from RNAcentral.